UGGGGAAUAUUGGACAAUGGGCGCAAGCCUGAUCCAGCCAUGCCGCGUGGAUGAUGAAGGCCCUAGGGUUGUAAAGUCCUUUCGACGGGGAAGAUAAUGACGGUACCCGUAGAAGAAGCCCCGGCUAACUUCGUGCCAGCAGCCGCGGUAAUACGAAGGGGGCUAGCGUUGCUCGGAAUUACUGGGCGUAAAGGGCUCGUAGGCGGCCAACUAAGUCAGACGUGAAAUCCCUCGGCUUAACCGGGGAACUGCGUCUGAUACUGGAUGGCUUGAGGUUGGGAGAGGGAUGCGGAAUUCCAGGUGUAGCGGUGAAAUGCGUAGAUAUCUGGAGGAACACCGGUGGCGAAGGCGACAUCCUGGACCAAUUCUGACGCUGAGGAGCGAAAGCCAGGGGAGCAAACGGGAUUAGAUACCCUUGUAGUCCCUGAGCGGGCUGGCAAGGCGCAU
This 447-nucleotide ribosomal RNA is filed under the name uncultured bacterium. Its description in RNAcentral is "bacterial SSU rRNA". It matches the Rfam family "Bacterial small subunit ribosomal RNA", at positions 355 to 825 of the family's 1533-position model. The record is from RNAcentral.